UCGGGAAUUUUGGGCAAUGGGCGAAAGCCUGACCCAGCAACGCCGCGUGAGGGAUGAAGUAUUUCGGUAUGUAAACCUCGAAAGAAUGGGAAGAAUAAAUGACGGUACCAUUUAUAAGCUCCGGCUAACUACGUGCCAGCAGCCGCGGUAAUACGUAGGGAGCAAGCGUUGUUCGGAUUUACUGGGCGUAAAGGGCGCGUAGGCGGGAUAAAAAGUCAGUGGUGAAAUCCUACAGCUUAACUGUAGAACUGCCUUUGAUACUUUUAUUCUUGAGUUCGGGAGAGAGAGACGGAAUUCCAGGUGUAGUGGUGAAAUACGUAGAUAUCUGGAAGAACACCAGUUGCGAAGGCGGUCUCUUGGUCCGACACUGACGCUGAGGCGCGAAAGCGUGGGGAGCAAACA
This 402-nucleotide ribosomal RNA is filed under the name uncultured bacterium. Its description in RNAcentral is "bacterial SSU rRNA". It matches the Rfam family "Bacterial small subunit ribosomal RNA", at positions 355 to 774 of the family's 1533-position model. The record is from RNAcentral.